GAUGAACGCUAGCGGCAGGCCUAACACAUGCAAGUCGAGGGAGGAGCCUUCGGGCUUCGACCGGCGUACGGGUGCGUAACGCGUAUACAAUCUGCCUUUCACAUAGGGAUAGCCCGAAGAAAUUUGGAUUAAUACCUAAUGGUAUAUAGAUGUGGCAUCACCUUUAUAUUAAAGCUGAGGCGGUGAAAGAUGAGUAUGCGUUCUAUUAGCUAGUUGGAGAGGUAACGGCUCCCCAAGGCGACGAUAGAUAGGGGUUCUGAGAGGGAUAUCCCCCACACUGGUACUGAGAUACGGACCAGACUCCUACGGGAGGCAGCAGUGAGGAAUAUUGGACAAUGGUCGGAAGACUGAUCCAGCCAUGCCGCGUCAGGAAGACGGCCUUAUGGGUUGUAAACUGCUUUUGCAGGGGAAGAAUAAGGACUACGCGUAGUUUGAUGACGGUACUCUGCGAAUAAGCAUCGGCUAACUCCGUG
Molecule: ribosomal RNA, 473 nt
Filed under: uncultured bacterium
Lineage: Bacteria
Description: partial 16S ribosomal RNA
Rfam family: Bacterial small subunit ribosomal RNA
Source: RNAcentral